AACGAACGCUGGCGGCAUGCCUAACACAUGCAAGUCGAACGAGACCUUCGGGUCUAGUGGCGCACGGGUGCGUAACGCGUGGGAACCUGCCCUUAGGUUCGGAAUAACUCCCCGAAAGGGGUGCUAAUACCGGAUAAUGUCUUCGGACCAAAGAUUUAUCGCCUUUGGAUGGGCCCGCGUUGGAUUAGCUAGUUGGUAUGGUAAAAGCCUACCAAGGCGACGAUCCAUAGCUGGUCUGAGAGGAUGAUCAGCCACACUGGGACUGAGACACGGCCCAGACUCCUACGGGAGGAAGCAGUGGGGAAUAUUGGACAAUGGGCGAAAGACUGAUCCAGCAAUGCCGCGUGAGUGAUGAAGGCCUUAGGGUUGUAAAGCUAUUUUAACCGGGAUGAUAAUGACAGUACCGGGAGAAUAAGCUCCGGCUAACUCCGUG
This 433-nucleotide ribosomal RNA is filed under the name uncultured bacterium. RNAcentral describes it as "partial 16S ribosomal RNA". It matches the Rfam family "Bacterial small subunit ribosomal RNA", at positions 29 to 507 of the family's 1533-position model. The record is from RNAcentral.